GAUGAACGCUGGCGGCGUGCCUAAUACAUGCCAGUCGAGCGAACGGACGAGAAGCUUGCUUCUCUGAUGUUAGCGGCGGACGGGUGAGUAACACGUGGAUAACCUACCUAUAAGACUGGGAUAACUUCGGGAAACCGGAGCUAAUACCGGAUAAUAUUUUGAACCGCAUGGUUCAAAAGUAAAAGACGGUCUUGCUGUCACUUAUAGAUGGAUCCGCGCUGCAUUAGCUAGUUGGUAAGGUAACGGCUUACCAAGGCAACGAUGCAUAGCCGACCUGAGAGGGUGAUCGGCCACACUGGAACUGAGACACGGUCCAGACUCCUACGGGAGGCAGCAGUAGGGAAUCUUCCGCAAUGGGCGAAAGCCUGACGGAGCAACGCCGCGUGAGUGGUGAAGGUCUUCGGAUCGUAAAACUCUGUUAUUAGGGAAGAACAUAUGUGUAAGUAACUGUGCACAUCUUGACGGUACCUAAUCAGAAAGCCACGGCUAACUACGUG
Molecule: ribosomal RNA, 497 nt
Filed under: uncultured bacterium
Lineage: Bacteria
Description: partial 16S ribosomal RNA
Rfam family: Bacterial small subunit ribosomal RNA
Source: RNAcentral